This 22-nucleotide small nuclear RNA is filed under the name Arabidopsis thaliana (thale cress). RNAcentral describes it as "snRNA_07490". Lineage: Eukaryota; Viridiplantae; Streptophyta; Magnoliopsida; Brassicales; Brassicaceae. The record is from RNAcentral.
UAAAUUAAUAGCAUAUCAGGAU